ACAUGCAUUUGAAUUUAUGACAAGCUCAUGCCUCUGGGUCUGUCAUAGUGUCUCAGGCCAAAACAAACUGGCCAGAAACCAGAUCUUGGCUGCUGUA
RNAcentral lists this small nucleolar RNA (97 nucleotides) under Jaculus jaculus (lesser Egyptian jerboa). Its description in RNAcentral is "Small nucleolar RNA SNORA42/SNORA80 family (ENSJJAG00000003232.1)". Lineage: Eukaryota; Metazoa; Chordata; Mammalia; Rodentia; Dipodidae. The record is from RNAcentral.